This 407-nucleotide long non-coding RNA is filed under the name Malus domestica (apple). Its description in RNAcentral is "long non-coding RNA (MDOM_LNC019160)". The record is from RNAcentral. Lineage: Eukaryota; Viridiplantae; Streptophyta; Magnoliopsida; Rosales; Rosaceae.
AGUUGCAAAUGAGUAAGCGUACUCUCUCAUUAUUAUUGUUGCUAGCCAAACAUCGUAUCAUCGUGAGGUGGGCUUGGUAAUAGUGAGCCUCCCAUAACCUACUAGGAGUUUCAUCCAAAACUCUCGAAUUCCUUUGAGGGAUAUGGAAUUUGCCAAAAAUAGUGGGUGGUGCUAUUUGAUUUAAAGACCCGGAUCAAAUGGCUUAAAAUCAAUCAAUUUAUAUUCGUUAUGUAUUUGUUUACCAAUAUAUUUGCAAACGCUAUCCAACACUUGACAAAUAAAAACCGAAUGUUUUAAUUUCCGGACUUGGUACCACAAUCCCAAAGAAUGUCUUAAAAAGGAUUGCAUAUGUACCUAAGUAGUCUCAUCCUCACAAUCUUCCUAAUGAUAAUGUAUCAUUGGAAGAA